This 252-nucleotide ribosomal RNA is filed under the name uncultured bacterium. RNAcentral's name for it is "partial 16S ribosomal RNA". It matches the Rfam family "Bacterial small subunit ribosomal RNA", at positions 524 to 776 of the family's 1533-position model. The record is from RNAcentral.
UACGGAGGAUGCGAGCGUUAUCCGGAUUUAUUGGGUUUAAAGGGUGCGUAGGCGAGAUGCCAAGUCAGCGGUAAAAAUGCGGUGCUCAACGCCGUCGAGCCGUUGAAACUGGCGUUCUUGAGUGGGCGAGAAGUACGCGGAAUGCGUGGUGUAGCGGUGAAAUGCAUAGAUAUCACGCAGAACUCCGAUUGCGAAGGCAGCAUACCGGCGCCCUACUGACGCUGAGGCACGAAAGCGUGGGUAUCGAACAGG